RNAcentral lists this small RNA (28 nucleotides) under Bombyx mori (domestic silkworm). Its description in RNAcentral is "ovarian small RNA-28226". The record is from RNAcentral. Lineage: Eukaryota; Metazoa; Arthropoda; Insecta; Lepidoptera; Bombycidae.
UCGAAGUCAAAAAAUGUACUGCCGUGCC